UCAUUUGAAGUUUGACCUGAAUUGUCUUCUUGUAACUCAUGGAAGACUUUUGUCACAGGUGUUCUGUUAGAAGAGGUAAUCAGAACACGGGAGAUGGGAGCAUGCGGAAUAAGAUGCUCUGAUGCUAUCUAAUUUUGCACUUGAGAAUCAAUUACACACAGCUAGCUUGAGGAUAUAGAAGUUUUGUCCAACUUAAACAUAACGUCAUAGAUUUUGCCAACACAUUAAAAUGAGUCCAACU
This is a long non-coding RNA of Zingiber officinale, 241 nucleotides long. RefSeq lists it as uncharacterized. The record is from RefSeq and is a predicted model, not a curated record. The transcript is spliced from 3 exons. Lineage: Eukaryota; Viridiplantae; Streptophyta; Magnoliopsida; Zingiberales; Zingiberaceae.